CGAUCGUCGUCGUCUAGUAUUACGAACCGCCGCGCGAUUUCGACGUUCUCCGUUUGCGCGAAACGGUACGGCAGAAACGGCAUGCAGAACACGGGGAACCGACGAGGAAAGGAGAGCGGAGCGAGGGAACGAGCGUGUUGUACCACUAAAAUUAGAGCGACGUGACAGAGAAGGGGACGGGCUCCUUAUAGAGCUUGUGCACGACGCCGGGAGCUUGCGGCCAGGGUUAGCAAACUGGCAUUUUCUCUUUCUCGCCUCGAAGUAUCGGAUUACUUCGGGAACGUCGGUGCGCGCCGUCCGGCCCAUUCAGCUUCGACUUUCCUCCGGAUACCCCUUUUCCACGCAAGCGCUUUAAACAGCCACCAACAUGUCUGACGACGAGGAACAAUACUCGUAAGUAGUCCACCGAUUGUUUACACUCUCGAGCCAACGCCGAUCAAUAUAAAUUAUUGUCCAUUAUUCACGCGUCCGCAGUUCUCAAUCGCUUAUUUUGAAAACUGAUGCAAUUCCAA
Molecule: long non-coding RNA, 512 nt
Organism: Wasmannia auropunctata (little fire ant)
Lineage: Eukaryota; Metazoa; Arthropoda; Insecta; Hymenoptera; Formicidae
Exons: 2
Source: RefSeq, a predicted model, not a curated record